RNAcentral lists this long non-coding RNA (369 nucleotides) under Mus caroli (Ryukyu mouse). Its description in RNAcentral is "lncRNA (MGP_CAROLIEiJ_G0004107.1)". The record is from RNAcentral. Lineage: Eukaryota; Metazoa; Chordata; Mammalia; Rodentia; Muridae.
AGGAAUGCAGGAAGAGUCUCNGGAUCAGGAGCCCACAGGCUGGACUCACACCAGCUACUGCAGAGUCAGAACGAAGACUCANGAGGGAUGGCUCCACAGCAAGAAUCACCCUUUGGUUAACCCAUGGCAACCCUCGGCACAGCCAGGGGCUUGGCUACUCGUUCUGGUGCCCCGUGGCGCAGCUCAGGACCUUAGAGUCUAAUCAUCAGCUCGGAUCAGAGGGCAACUUGGGCCGCCUACCUGAGGCCGUGGCCGCCGUGGCGUCUGCUUUGUCUGGAACCAGCCUGAUGCCAUCAGACACGUCCACCUGGUGAUCAGCCUCCUCCCUUGAGGCCCCAUCAUGCUGUGGUGACAGAGGAUUGCUUCUAA